Molecule: unclassified non-coding RNA, 216 nt
Filed under: Hevea brasiliensis (rubber tree)
Lineage: Eukaryota; Viridiplantae; Streptophyta; Magnoliopsida; Malpighiales; Euphorbiaceae
Source: RNAcentral
CGAAAACCUAUCCUUGUGUUUCAUUCAUGGACUAUUUAUGAUGUUUAAACAAAUAAAUAAAGUUUAUGUUUCAUUCAUGGACUAUUUAGGAUGUUUAAACAAAGCUCGUUACCUUUCCGAUACAAACCAGUCAGAUAAACACUUAACUCAUAUAAAAAAAGUUGUCUUUUGGUGAGGUUAUCAUGUCUUCUCUAGGGUGAAAAAUUUAUCCUCUUG